GACGAACGCUGGCGGCGUGCUUAACACAUGCAAGUCGAACGGUAAGGCCCUUUCGGGGGUACACGAGUGGCGAACGGGUGAGUAACACGUGGGUGAUCUGCCCUGCACUUUGGGAUAAGCCUGGGAAACUGGGUCUAAUACCGGAUAGGACUACGCGAUGCAUGUCGUGUGGUGGAAAGCUUUUGCGGUGUGGGAUGGGCCCGCGGCCUAUCAGCUUGUUGGUGGGGUGAUGGCCUACCAAGGCGACGACGGGUAGCCGGCCUGAGAGGGUGUCCGGCCACACUGGGACUGAGAUACGGCCCAGACUCCUACGGGAGGCAGCAGUGGGGAAUAUUGCGCAAUGGGCGCAAGCCUGAUGCAGCGACGCCGCGUGGGGGAUGACGGCCUUCGGGUUGUAAACCCCUUUCAGCACAGACGAAGCGUAAGUGACGGUAUGUGCAGAAGAAGCACCGGCCAACUACGUG
This 464-nucleotide ribosomal RNA is filed under the name uncultured bacterium. RNAcentral's name for it is "partial 16S ribosomal RNA". It matches the Rfam family "Bacterial small subunit ribosomal RNA", at positions 28 to 507 of the family's 1533-position model. The record is from RNAcentral.